Molecule: ribosomal RNA, 483 nt
Filed under: uncultured bacterium
Lineage: Bacteria
Description: partial 16S ribosomal RNA
Rfam family: Bacterial small subunit ribosomal RNA
Source: RNAcentral
UUGAACGCUGGCGGCAGGCCUCACCCCUGCAAGUCGAGCGGAUGAAGGGAGCUUGCUCCUGGAUUCAGCGGCGGACGGGUGAGUAAUGCCUAGGAAUCUGCCUGGUAGUGGGGGAUAACGUCCGGAAACGGGCGCUAAUACCGCAUACGUCCUGAGGGAGAAAGUGGGGGAUCUUCGGACCUCACGCUAUCAGAUGAGCCUAGGUCGGAUUAGCUAGUUGGUGGGGUAAAGGCCUACCAAGGCGACGAUCCGUAACUGGUCUGAGAGGAUGAUCAGUCACACUGGAACUGAGACACGGUCCAGACUCCUACGGGAGGCAGCAGUGGGGAAUAUUGGACAAUGGGCGAAAGCCUGAUCCAGCCAUGCCGCGUGUGUGAAGAAGGUCUUCGGAUUGUAAAGCACUUUAAGUUGGGAGGAAGGGCAGUAAGUUAAUACCUUGCUGUUUUGACGUUACCAACAGAAUAAGCACCGGCUAACUUCGUG